Molecule: ribosomal RNA, 253 nt
Filed under: uncultured bacterium
Lineage: Bacteria
Description: partial 16S ribosomal RNA
Rfam family: Bacterial small subunit ribosomal RNA
Source: RNAcentral
UACGAAGGGGGCUAGCGUUGUUCGGAUUUACUGGGCGUAAAGCGCACGUAGGCGGAUUGUUAAGUCAGGGGUGAAAUCCUGGAGCUCAACUCCAGAACUGCCUUUGAUACUGGCAAUCUUGAGUCCGGAAGAGGUGAGUGGAACUCCUAGUGUAGAGGUGGAAUUCGUAGAUAUUAGGAAGAACACCAGUGGCGAAGGCAGCCCCCUGGGCUGACACUGACGCUCAGGCACGAAAGCGUGGGGAGCAAACAGG